UAAAUGGGAUUGUGAUGUAACUAUUUGCUUAGUUUAAAAACUGUCACAUUACUUUAUUUUUCAGGAGUUUCAUCUUUAUACUGAUUCACUUCUUUAAAGGUUUGUUAUUUGUUCCACUAAAAGUCGACUGAAAUAUUAAACACAUUUUCAUUCAAAGACUAGAAUUAAAACUGAACUAAAAUGCUUUCAAAAUUAAUAGUCCACUGACGGGAUUUCACAAUAAAGCAGCAAGAACAAAAUGGUACAAAACUCUGAUUGAAAUUCUUUGAAAACAGUUUUAUAAUGAAGAACAAAGGAAGGCGCUUAAAAAUGUAAUGAAAAAGCAACAAAAAAAGUUACAAAAACUUGAAAAAUAAAAAGAUGACGACAACGAGGCAACAAAGUCUUAGAUCAGUUUUGUAGGUCUUAGCUUUCAAAGAGGGGUUACACUGGUCUAUAUAAAGGCCGAAAGCUCCAGUCAAGAAGCUUAUAGAGUUGGGUAAAGCCGAAAUGAAAACAUUUUUCUUGGUUCAGCUGGGGGUUAAGAGGUUGAAGUAAAGGUAAGCUAAAGCUUUACAUUCCAUCAACACUAAAACAUCAGCAAGUCUGAAACAUUAGUUUGAAAUAGAGUCAACUCAAUAAGUCUCUGUGAACGACACAAACAUGAAUGAAAAAACAGCACAAGGGAAUGAUGAGACUAUUUAAAGGAUCAUUUUGCGCAGAACAAAGAUUUGUUUGGACAAAUUAAUAUUUUCUUUUCAAAUGUGAAUUCUGGGCUUGUAACAUUUCCUCUGCACUCUGAAGGUGAAACAAUAUAAUUCCAUAUUUGUGAAAAAGUUUUUUUUCAUAUAAGAUUUAGAUUAAGAUUAACAUUCUAUGACCUCCCUAAAAAACAUCAGCAUUUGUGAACAUUAGUUUGAACUAGAGUGAACUGGAUAAGUCUCUGAACUACACAGACAUGUUCAUGUCAUGAAGACAUUUGAUCUUAAAUAUCUGAAGGUCUGACCAACUCAUCACAGCUGUU
Molecule: long non-coding RNA, 1003 nt
Filed under: Neogobius melanostomus (round goby)
Lineage: Eukaryota; Metazoa; Chordata; Actinopteri; Gobiiformes; Gobiidae
Description: lncRNA (ENSNMLG00000026927.1)
Source: RNAcentral